UCAGAUUGAACGCUGGCGGCAGGCCUAACACAUGCAAGUCGAACGGUAACAGGAAGMAGCUUGCUUCUUUGCUGACGAGUGGCGGACGGGUGAGUAAUGUCUGGGAAACUGCCUGAUGGAGGGGGAUAACUACUGGAAACGGUAGCUAAUACCGCAUAACGUCGCAAGACCAAAGAGGGGGACCUUCGGGCCUCUUGCCAUCGGAUGUGCCCAGAUGGGAUUAGCUAGUAGGUGGGGUAACGGCUCACCUAGGCGACGAUCCCUAGCUGGUCUGAGAGGAUGACCAGCCACACUGGAACUGAGACACGGUCCAG
RNAcentral lists this ribosomal RNA (314 nucleotides) under Enterobacteriaceae bacterium R-49473. RNAcentral describes it as "bacterial SSU rRNA". It matches the Rfam family "Bacterial small subunit ribosomal RNA", at positions 24 to 334 of the family's 1533-position model. Lineage: Bacteria; Pseudomonadati; Pseudomonadota; Gammaproteobacteria; Enterobacterales; Enterobacteriaceae. The record is from RNAcentral.